Long non-coding RNA from Struthio camelus australis, 360 nucleotides. RefSeq lists it as uncharacterized. The record is from RefSeq and is a predicted model, not a curated record. NCBI's taxonomy places the organism in Eukaryota, Metazoa, Chordata, Aves, Struthioniformes, Struthionidae.
CAGAAGCACAGAAAGGAAGUGUUUAGCUCUAGAAAGCCAUUCCAAAGAGGGAAUAAAGAGCACUAGCCGUGUCAAAUGCUGUGGUUCCUGCAACAGAGAAAUCUUCGCAGGGAUGGCUGAGGAGACUGCCAGCCGUGCGUAACAUCACUGCUGCAUAACACAUCUUUCCCUCCUAGAUUUGCCUCUCGCACCACUUAUUGUCUUGUGUCGUUCUGGUGAAGCGAGUUCUCUUCCCGUUCCUGGCAGGGAAGGGGGAUGGAUGUGAGCUGCAGAGGGAUGGGAUCGCAAUCUGAGAUGAAGAUGGUUAUCAUGUAAGGAGCCAACGCAUAUUCAAGGAUGGAAGGCAAGUGUAACAUUUGA